CAGUAAGUGCUAGCUAUUAUCAAUC
RNAcentral lists this non-coding RNA (25 nucleotides) under Rattus norvegicus (Norway rat). The record is from RNAcentral. Lineage: Eukaryota; Metazoa; Chordata; Mammalia; Rodentia; Muridae.